Long non-coding RNA from Mizuhopecten yessoensis (Yesso scallop), 3460 nucleotides. RefSeq lists it as uncharacterized. The transcript has 3 exons. NCBI's taxonomy places the organism in Eukaryota, Metazoa, Mollusca, Bivalvia, Pectinida, Pectinidae. The record is from RefSeq and is a predicted model, not a curated record.
AUUUUAUGUUCCCGCGUCUACAAGUGUAUUGUGCAACACACAGGCAUUUCAGAGAGGUUCGACUGAUUGUUUGUGCCUGAUAAGCACCCGGCAUUUCCUGUGCGAUUAUUACUCCCACCAUUACAUAAACAAUCUUUAGAGGAAUCAGACUGUGCAUUCUAUUGCAUCUGUCAUCGCAGAUCCAUCGUUAUUCCCUGGAAAGUGGAGUUUAUCAGGACAGACAAGCAGUGAGACAUGACUAAGAUGCCUGGCUGGUUUGCUUGUUUGGCAGUAGUAGUCGUCGUAAUUCUUGGAUAUUUCCUCUUCAAAUUCCUGUGCUCACACAAAUGUUCGCGUUGGCAAGUUGAUAGGAGGCGUGCUCAACGGGAAUCAGAUAUGACGUCAAAAGAUAAAAAGAAAGACACGAAAGUUCCUCCCGCGUUGAUUGAUACUGGAAAAUGCAUGCAGGUUUCCACUUUGCCGCCAUCGUAUGAACAGUGUAUGAAGUCACAGAUCUAUCUCGUGAAAAUGGAACAGCCACCAUCUUACAUGGAAUACGAGGCAUAGUUGUCCGGUUCGGCGGAAGAUUUGGGAAGCAGCUAUUGAUGUUAAAUGAACAUACUUGUUGUAAUGAACUUCUCAGUCAAAGUAUUGACAAUGAUAAAAUAAUGAUAAUCCUAGAACAAUAAGUCAAUCAAUUAAACAAUCAAUCAAUAAUAGUAACACCAUUUAUCUAAGUGUCACGCAAUAUACAUAUAUAUGUUAUAUUCAGAUCAAUUCAGUCAUAUGGUUAUCUGGUUACAUGGUUCAGUUAAUUUUGGCUUACGAGACACUAUGGUCAUUAAAUUACGAUCAAUAAAUAUAUUUCGAUAAAUAAGACACGAUUAUUUUAUCAUACAAUAUUUUCUUGAUAAUUGUUUUCUUCUUUUAAACAUAUAAUAUAUGGAUUUAGCUUAAAUAUACUGCAGCUUAGAAUUAUUAAUCAGAUGUACAAAUCCAUCACAUGGGUUCAUUAUUAAAACGUUUUCGAUUACAAAUUCUGCUUGAUCAAAUAGUAAAACUGUAUAUCAUUUUAUUUUUAAUAUUUGCAUUUAAAGAAUUAAAACAAUUUCUACAAGUUCGGUUUUCAAAUGGCACAGGUGAUCAGUCUUUUUAAAAUGUCAAGACAAAUAUAGACAUACAGAGUUACAUUAUCAAUUCACUGUGUAAAUACUAUCAUACAUGUAGUUUGCAUUUGAAUGGUUAUUUUUCAAUAGUUGCCAGAACUUCAUACUUUAUGAAUAUAUUGCUGACUGACUUGUCUUUUAAUGUUAAAUAGAUGUCUCAGCUGUACUUUGAUUACUGGAGUUUCAAAAAGGUGUACCUUAUCUUGGGCUUUGUGCAUAGUUGUCAAUCAGUCAGGAAUUUUAAUUGGUUUAAACACGGACUUAGAUAGCUUAAAAUGUUGGUUGGUUUUCACAGAUAAAUGUUCAGAAUUUGGGUUAUCUCAUAUUGUGACCGGGUGGAAUCUGUUUUUAGUGUCUUCGGCAUGGUAUAUCAGUAAACGCUAAAGUAGAAAUUAACACCGCGCUGUUGCAAGGAGCCAAAUACAUAAUAUAACGAUGCAGAAGAAAAUAACCCCUCAUAUUAAACUUUCAAAAACCGACUUGUUCUUACAUUACUUUCUACAUUAAUAAUUGAAAUAUUUCAGUUGAUGGUAAAAGCUUCAUGUCAUGUCUUUCCAAUAAGCUCCAGCCGUCAAGGAUACCAAUAGAUUAGGUCAUAUAUACUACAUCACUGGGAAGAUAACUAAAUAUUGUCUAUACUAAACAAUUAUAUAAAUAAAGCAGUCAUAUACUACAUCACUUGGAACAGAUAACUAAAUGUUGUCUAUACUAAACAAUUAUAUAAAUAUAGAUCAGGUCAUAUACUACAUCACUGGGAACAGAUAGCUAAAGAUUGUCUAUACUAAACAAAGAUAAAUAUAGAACAGGUCAUAUACUACAUCAAUGGGAACAGAUAGCUAAAUAUUGUCUAUACUACACAAAGAUAAAUAUAGAUCAGGUCAUAUAAUACAUCAAUGGGAACAGAUAGCUAAAUAUUGUCUAUACUAAAUAAAUAUAUAAAUAGAUCAGGUCAUAUACUACAUCACUGGGAACAGAUAACUAAAUAUUGUCUAUACUAAACAAAUAUAUAAAUAGAUCAGGUCAUAUACUACAUCACUGGGAACAGAUAACUCCAAUGCUUCCCUUAAAUAUGGGUUUAUUUCAGGAGAAGGGAAGUCUACAACAUGUAAUAAAUACAUUACACACAGUUAUGCACUCCGCGCUCUCAUUCCGGAAUCAUACCUAUUCAUUCCUCUCACCUAUCUUACUCACUACAUAUACAUAGAUACAUGUGAACAGAUUACAUGAUAAUGAUACAUUGCACAAUUGAGCGCGCGGGGACAAACAAAUGAUGUACCUGUUUAUUACACCUGGCUACACACUCCCCCUCUUUAUAAAAUGUCACAUGACAUUUCUCGAGUAUUUCCAUGACAACAUAUACAGAUAUCUGAGAAAAAAUGAGGCUAUUGUUCUAGAACCAAUUCUGUAAAAGAUACCAGCUGACAAGAACAUUAUUAUAAUGAUUCCUUUACAAUAUUUGAUAAACUCUCACCAGCUCAGGUAUUUAUUACAUUUUAAGAAGUUAUAUUUAUCCAACAAGUGUAAUCUUUUCAGAGUACACAGAGCUCUAGCGUUACUUAUGUGUCCUAAAUAAAAUAAAAGACCAACGCUUUUCAGGUUAUAAAUCCCAGCCCUUUGGGAAAAUACAGGUCAGCUACCUUGUAAAACAGCCAAAAUACAGAUUAUACUCAUUUCCUACUUUUACAAGUAAGACGUAAUGCUACAAGAGCAAGGUAACACAGCUUUACUGUUGGGACCCCCCUGCCAUACAAUGACACCUAUUCAUAUAAGGCUACACUACAUGUAUUAAUGUCCUACUUAAAACUUGAAGGCAAUGACAUAAAAUACAAAUAUAUGAUUAAAUAGUUAUCAACUGGUACAAACCUAUAAACCCUGCGUUGCCAUGCUUACCAGGGACACCGGGAAGCUUAGAUGUAUAAUCAUGGACGUCUGUUCCCAUGCAGGGGUGACGUCUGAAUGCCUAUGCUGGUCACCUGUAGCCGGGGCAUAGGCCCAACAACGUGACAGUAGCCAGGUGACACGGGACAGAAGCCCGUGCUUCCUGCGCGCGCGGGGAUAUAUAGGUGAUGUACCUGUUUGUUACACCUGGCUACACAUGUAUUCAAAUUAUGAAAAAUGUUACUUGACUGUCUAUUUUAACUGACUGCGUAUUGAAUUUGAUAGGAGAUUUGUACAGACUUGUACGCACUUCUGUCAAUUCUUGUAUCGAGUUUGGAUACACUGAUAUGUCUGAACAUACGGAAACUACGGUCCAGGUACAUGCAUAAAGUUGCUAUGUUUACUGUAUAUGAGACGGUGUCAAUUUAUUUCAUAAU